GGCUGGUCUGAGUGCAGUGGUAUUUACAACUAAUUGAUCACAACCCGUUACAGAUUUCUUUGUUCCUUCUCCACUCCCACUACUUCACUUGACUAGCCUUAA
This 102-nucleotide Y RNA is filed under the name Saimiri boliviensis boliviensis (Bolivian squirrel monkey). RNAcentral describes it as "Y RNA (ENSSBOG00000000561.1)". It matches the Rfam family "Y RNA". From Rfam's summary of the family: Y RNAs are components of the Ro ribonucleoprotein particle (Ro RNP), in association with Ro60 and La proteins. The record is from Rfam by way of RNAcentral. Lineage: Eukaryota; Metazoa; Chordata; Mammalia; Primates; Cebidae.